AAGUCGUAACAAGGUUUCCGUAGGUGAACCUGCGGAAGGAUCAUUACAGAAUUUAAACUUGGUGGGUUGUCGCUGGCCUCGAGCAUGUGCACGCCUGUCAUUUUUGUUCUCUUUCCACCUGUGCACCCUAUAUGUAGGACCGCUCUUCUGGGGGGCGCCCUUUUGGGCGAGGGUUUGCCGCCAUGGCUUUCCUGUCUCCUCCAGCUCGACGGCUCUAUGUAUUCUUUAUCUUACCACAAUGUAUGUCGUCGAACGUAUGUGUAGCCACAUGGGCGCGAGCCCUGUGAUAACAAUCUAUACAACUUUCAGCAACGGAUCUCUUGGCUCUC
RNAcentral lists this unclassified non-coding RNA (329 nucleotides) under fungal sp. RNAcentral describes it as "partial internal transcribed spacer region". The stretch from base 1 to 46 matches the Rfam family "Eukaryotic small subunit ribosomal RNA", at positions 1786 to 1831 of the family's 1831-position model. The record is from RNAcentral. RNAcentral also lists the same sequence under 1 other name. Lineage: Eukaryota; Fungi.